AACGAACGCUGGCGGCAGGCUUAACACAUGCAAGUCGAACGGGUGUAGCAAUACAUCAGUGGCAGACGGGUGAGUAACACGUGGGAACCUUCCUAGGGGUACGGAACAACUCAGGGAAACUUGAGCUAAUACCGUAUACGUCCGUAAGGAGAAAGAUUCAUCGCCCCUAGACGGGCCCGCGUCGGAUUAGGUAGUUGGUGGGGUAACGGCCUACCAAGCCUACGAUCCGUAGCUGAUCUGAGAGGAUGAUCAGCCACACUGGGACUGAGACACGGCCCAGACUCCUACGGGAGGCAGCAGUGGGGAAUCUUGGACAAUGGGCGCAAGCCUGAUCCAGCCAUGCCGCGUGAGUGAAGAAGGCCUUAGGGUUGUAAAGCUCUUUUACCAGGGGCGAUAAUGACGGUACCUGGAGAAUAAAGCCCCGGCAAACUUCGUGCCAGCCGCCGCAGUAAC
This 453-nucleotide ribosomal RNA is filed under the name uncultured bacterium. RNAcentral's name for it is "bacterial SSU rRNA". It matches the Rfam family "Bacterial small subunit ribosomal RNA", at positions 29 to 524 of the family's 1533-position model. The record is from RNAcentral.